UACGAAGGGUGCAAGCGUUACUCGGAAUUACUGGGCGUAAAGCGUGCGUAGGUGGUCGUUUAAGUCUGUUGUGAAAGCCCUGGGCUCAACCUGGGAACUGCAGUGGAAACUGGACGACUAGAGUGUGGUAGAGGGUAGCGGAAUUCCCGGUGUAGCAGUGAAAUGCGUAGAGAUCGGGAGGAACAUCCAUGGCGAAGGCAGCUACCUGGACCAACACUGACACUGAGGCGCGACAGCGUGGGGAGCAAACAGG
RNAcentral lists this ribosomal RNA (253 nucleotides) under uncultured bacterium. Its description in RNAcentral is "partial 16S ribosomal RNA". It matches the Rfam family "Bacterial small subunit ribosomal RNA", at positions 524 to 776 of the family's 1533-position model. The record is from RNAcentral.